CCUACGGGUGGCAGCAGUGAGGAAUAUUGGUCAAUGGCCGGGAGGCUGAACCAACCAAGUCGCGUGAGGGAAGACGGCCCUACGGGUUGUAAACCUCUUUUGUCAGGGAGCAAGGUGCAGGUCGGGACCUGCUGUGAGAGUACCUGAAGAAAAAGCAUCGGCUAACUCCGUGCCAGCAGCCGCGGUAAUACGGAGGAUGCGAGCGUUAUCCGGAUUUAUUGGGUUAAAAGGGUGCGCAGGCGGAGGCACAAGUCAGCGGUAAAAUCGCGGGGCUCAACCCCGCUCCGCCGUUGAAACUGUGUGCCUUGAGUGCGCGAAGGGUAGGCGGAAGGCGUGGUGUAGCGGUGAAAUGCAUAGAUAUCACGCAGAACUCCGAUCGCGAAGGCAGCCUACCGGCGCGCAACUGACGCUCAGGCACGAAAGCGUGGGUAUCGAACAGGAUUAGAUACCCCAGUAGUC
RNAcentral lists this ribosomal RNA (459 nucleotides) under uncultured bacterium. RNAcentral describes it as "partial 16S ribosomal RNA". It matches the Rfam family "Bacterial small subunit ribosomal RNA", at positions 338 to 795 of the family's 1533-position model. The record is from RNAcentral.